CGCUCUUCCGUCUGGCGCUGGCGGUGCGUUAAUGGUAUGUGAUGUAAAAGGAUAUAUUAGUCAUGUGUGUUCUGAUGAUGUCCAAAGAUGAAUUACUUCUUGAAAAAUCAUGAACGAAGGUCUUACGGGUGUGGAACGACAUGAGGCUUCAGCAAUGCUAAAACCACCAGGAACAACAACUCUUUGCCAUCUUGUCCUAUCUUCUCCUAACACAAAAGAAACAACAUACAAAGCUUGCAAGUGCACUGAAGCAGUAUCUGCUCAAGAACAUUCAAAGCUGCUCUGUAUGACAAUAACCUGGGCCAGUCUGGCAACUUCCUAAAGCCAAAAAGAUGAAACAAAGUUCCCAAGGCCUAUUUUGAGGUGGUUAUGCUGGAACUGUAUCCAGGAAAGAAAUAUUUCUAUGUUGUUGCUAGAUUGUCAAAGAAAAGGAAUCCCAGGUGGGAUACAACAUUGCAGGAUGGCUACACAAAAACAAAGAUCCACUGAAUGAAACAGUGGUGGGCCUGUUGCAGUCCUCCAUGCCUCUUUUGGCUCAGCUCUUCAAAGCAGAGGAAGCUGCACCAGGAGCAAAAAAAAGGGCCUCUUCCUUCCAGACUGUUUCAGCUUUCUAUAUAGUCACCUGAACAAAAUACACUUGAAGAAGCUGGGGAGCGCUGAUGAACCAGCCAAAGAAGCAGAAUAUCAGCUUGAAAGAACAGAUAUGAAAGAGCCGUCAGAGUAGGAGAAGAGCGCUGCCAAUGCUUUAAGUGCUAAAACGAGCAAACUUAUGGACCUGAGAAGGGACUUGGAAGGCUAGGAGUCGGCUCUGGCAAAGCUAGAGAAGGAAAAACAGGUGAAAGCAAUCAAGGAUUUCACUAAAAUAUGGCUGUAAAUUCCCCACACAUCUGUUAUCAUGUGUGAAAUCAAGCAAACACAUGUUACUGAUUGACAAAUUAAAAUAAAGUAACAUAAUGAUCUGAAAUUAUUCAGUUUAUUGGCUCCAAAAUAUCUGCUGUGGCUCUUUAGGGCAUUGCCAAGGCCCAGAAGGAAAAGAAAGAUCUAGAGAAGCUUCAGCAGGUAAAGUAAGCCAGCCAUUACUGGUCAAUAAUUGAUGCUGUUGUCACUAGAAAAAGAAAAUCCAACGAUAACAACCAAGAAGAACAAGAAGCACAGACUUGAAGAUCUCAACAUUAUCUGUAGAAGUUAAUGGCUGUGCAUUUUGAGGGGGAGGUAUAUUUACAUUAUGAAAGUGAUUGAAAUGUUUAUAGAUGUCAGUCCCAUGCAGCUGUGCCAGUUCCUAAAAAGAAGCAGUUACAGAAAAAGCUCUCAGAAAGAAUGCUGUUUCUAGAUGACACAGAUAAACAAUCCCAGGACUGCUUAUGAGGAGUUUCCUCGGAAACGGUUAGGAGAGAUAAAAAGGUCAUUUCUGGUAUUGCAGGCUCUCAGAGAAUUUAGAAACUCCUUAUACAAACAUUAUAUAGUAUGAGUGACAACUGAACUAAAUGUCAAUAUGAGAAACUCAUUUUAUCAUUUUAUUUCUCAUUUUAUCUGCUUUUUCAUCUGUAAAGGAAACAACAUCAAAGUACACUUGAGUUCCUCUAAACUUGUCUGGAGAAAGAGGUCAGAGGUCACGCUGAAACUUUGAGGACCAAGAACAAAAUGGAGUCAGACUUGAAUGAAAUGGAGAUCCAGCUGGACAAUGGCUUUAAGAACAACAAUGAGCAGGAAGAUCUUCAAGAGACUGUAAAAGCAGAACUUUGUACCCACUUGUGUAUGAAAUUGUGUUUUGAAAUAGAAAUCUUUUGUAACAAUGUAAGUCUUUACUUUUGAUCAAUUAAAUGCAUCUCUGCUUAAUAUAAGUAUUAAUUUCUUAAAAAAAUUAAAAUGAAGUUCUUUGAACUUCAAUUUAUAUGCAUUUGUACUCUAAAAAUGCUGGGUUAAAACAACCCAAGUUGAGUUAAAAAUGGACAAACCCAGUGAUUGGGUUGUUUUAACCCAACCUGCUGGGUAUUUUU
Long non-coding RNA from Megalobrama amblycephala (Wuchang bream), 1997 nucleotides. RefSeq lists it as uncharacterized. The record is from RefSeq and is a predicted model, not a curated record. NCBI's taxonomy places the organism in Eukaryota, Metazoa, Chordata, Actinopteri, Cypriniformes, Xenocyprididae. The transcript is spliced from 5 exons.